This 148-nucleotide non-coding RNA is filed under the name Nomascus leucogenys (northern white-cheeked gibbon). The record is from Rfam by way of RNAcentral. Lineage: Eukaryota; Metazoa; Chordata; Mammalia; Primates; Hylobatidae.
GCCGGGUGUGGUGGUGCGCGCCUGUAAUCCUAGCUACUUGGGAGGCUGAGGCACGAGAAUCACUUGAACCUGGAAGGCAGAGGUUGCAGUGAGCUAAGAUCAUGCCACUGUACUCCAGCCCAGGCAACAGAGUGAGACUGUGUCUCAA